Molecule: ribosomal RNA, 1520 nt
Filed under: Salmonella enterica
Lineage: Bacteria; Pseudomonadati; Pseudomonadota; Gammaproteobacteria; Enterobacterales; Enterobacteriaceae
Also listed under: 1 other name
Description: partial 16S ribosomal RNA
Rfam family: Bacterial small subunit ribosomal RNA
Source: RNAcentral
UGAAGAGUUUGAUCAUGGCUCAGAUUGAACGCUGGCGGCAGGCCUAACACAUGCAAGUCGAACGGUAACAGGAAGCAGCUUGCUGCUUCGCUGACGAGUGGCGGACGGGUGAGUAAUGUCUGGGAAACUGCCUGAUGGAGGGGGAUAACUACUGGAAACGGUGGCUAAUACCGCAUAACGUCGCAAGACCAAAGAGGGGGACCUUCGGGCCUCUUGCCAUCAGAUGUGCCCAGAUGGGAUUAGCUAGUUGGUGAGGUAACGGCUCACCAAGGCGACGAUCCCUAGCUGGUCUGAGAGGAUGACCAGCCACACUGGAACUGAGACACGGUCCAGACUCCUACGGGAGGCAGCAGUGGGGAAUAUUGCACAAUGGGCGCAAGCCUGAUGCAGCCAUGCCGCGUGUAUGAAGAAGGCCUUCGGGUUGUAAAGUACUUUCAGCGGGGAGGAAGGUGUUGUGGUUAAUAACCACAGCAAUUGACGUUACCCGCAGAAGAAGCACCGGCUAACUCCGUGCCAGCAGCCGCGGUAAUACGGAGGGUGCAAGCGUUAAUCGGAAUUACUGGGCGUAAAGCGCACGCAGGCGGUCUGUCAAGUCGGAUGUGAAAUCCCCGGGCUCAACCUGGGAACUGCAUUCGAAACUGGCAGGCUUGAGUCUUGUAGAGGGGGGUAGAAUUCCAGGUGUAGCGGUGAAAUGCGUAGAGAUCUGGAGGAAUACCGGUGGCGAAGGCGGCCCCCUGGACAAAGACUGACGCUCAGGUGCGAAAGCGUGGGGAGCAAACAGGAUUAGAUACCCUGGUAGUCCACGCCGUAAACGAUGUCUACUUGGAGGUUGUGCCCUUGAGGCGUGGCUUCCGGAGCUAACGCGUUAAGUAGACCGCCUGGGGAGUACGGCCGCAAGGUUAAAACUCAAAUGAAUUGACGGGGGCCCGCACAAGCGGUGGAGCAUGUGGUUUAAUUCGAUGCAACGCGAAGAACCUUACCUGGUCUUGACAUCCACAGAACUUUCCAGAGAUGGAUUGGUGCCUUCGGGAACUGUGAGACAGGUGCUGCAUGGCUGUCGUCAGCUCGUGUUGUGAAAUGUUGGGUUAAGUCCCGCAACGAGCGCAACCCUUAUCCUUUGUUGCCAGCGGUUAGGCCGGGAACUCAAAGGAGACUGCCAGUGAUAAACUGGAGGAAGGUGGGGAUGACGUCAAGUCAUCAUGGCCCUUACGACCAGGGCUACACACGUGCUACAAUGGCGCAUACAAAGAGAAGCGACCUCGCGAGAGCAAGCGGACCUCAUAAAGUGCGUCGUAGUCCGGAUUGGAGUCUGCAACUCGACUCCAUGAAGUCGGAAUCGCUAGUAAUCGUGGAUCAGAAUGCCACGGUGAAUACGUUCCCGGGCCUUGUACACACCGCCCGUCACACCAUGGGAGUGGGUUGCAAAAGAAGUAGGUAGCUUAACCUUCGGGAGGGCGCUUACCACUUUGUGAUUCAUGACUGGGGUGAAGUCGUAACAAGGUAACCGUAGGGGAACCUGC